UCAAAAUCUCCUGCUUCUCUGGAGAUGACAAUCCUCUUCUCUAUCCUGGUUUCAGAGAUCCCUCCAUUCAUCGUCUGGUAGCAGAAAGAUUGAUUAAGGAAUAUAAUUUUUAUUGUUAUUUAUUCUAGAAAGUCUGACAGCAGAUUUGAAAUUGGGUUAGUAUUAUAGGUGUGGUAGUAGACAGAUGGGUUAUGGGUAGUCUUAUAGGUGUGGUACUGGACAGAUGGGUUAGUAUUACAGGUGUGGUACUGGACAGAUGGGUUAUGGGUAGUAUUAUAGGUGUGGUACUGGACAGAUGGGUUAUUGGUAGUAUUAUAGGUGUGGUACUGGACAGAUGGGUUAGUAUUAUAGGUGUGGUACUAGAUAGAUGGGUUAGUAUUAUAGGUGUGGUAUUGGACAGAUGGGUUAGUAUUAUAGGUGUGGUACUAGACAGAUGGAUUAGUAUUAUAGGUGUGGUAAUAGACAGAUGGAUUAGUAUUAUAGGUGUGGUACUGGACAGAUGGGUUAUGGGUAGUAUUAUAGAUGUGGAACUAGACAGAUGGGUUAGUAUUAUAGGUGUGGUACUGCACAGAUGGGUUAGUUUUAUAGGUGUGGUACUAGACAGAUGGGUUAUAGGUAGUAUUAUAGGUGUGGUACUGGACAGAUGGGUUAGUAUUAUAGGUGUGGUACUAGACAGAUGGGUUAUGGGUAGUAUAAUAGGUGUGGUACUAGACAGAUGGGUUAUGGGUAGUAUUAUAGGUGUGGUACCAGAAAGAUGGGUUAGUAUUUUAGGUGUGGUUCUGGACAGAUGGGUUAGUAUUAUAGGUGUGGUACUAGACAGAUGGGUUAUGGGUAGUAUUAUAGGUGUGGUACUGGACAGAUGGGUUAGUAUUAUAGGUGUUGUACUAGACAGAUGGUUCAUGGGUAGUAUUAUAGGUGUGGUACUGGACAGAUGGUUUAGUAUUAUAGGUGUGGUACUGGACAGAUGGGUUAGUAUUAUAGGUGUGGUACUGGACAGAUGGGUUAGUAUUAUAGGUGUGGUACUGGACAGAUGGGUUAGUAUUACAGGUGUGGUACUAGACAGAUGGGUUAUGGGUAGUAUUAUACGUGUGGUACUGGACAGAUGGGUUAGUAAUAUAGGUGUGGUACUGGAAAAAUGGGUUAGUAUUAUAGGUGUGGUACUGGACAGAUGGGUUAGUAUUAAAGGUGUGGUACUGGACCGAUGGGUUAGUAUUAUAGGUGUGGUACUGGACAUAUGGGUUAGAUUUAUAGGUGUGGUACUGGACAGAUGGGUUAGUAUUACAGGUGUGGUACUAGAAAGAUGGAUUAUGGGUAGUAUUAUAGGUGUGGUAAUAGACAGAUGGGUUAUGGGUAGUAUUAUAGGUGUGGUACUAGAAUGAUGGGUUAUGGGUAGUAUUAUAGGUGUGGUACUAGACAGAUGGGUUAGUAUUAUAGGUGUGGUACUGGACAGAUGGGUAGUAUUAUAGGUGUGGUACUAGACAGAUGGGUUAUGGUUAGUAUUAUAGGUGUGUUACUGGACAGAUGGGUUAGUAUUAUAGGUGUGGUAAUAGACAGAUGGAUUAGUAUUAUAGGUGUGGUACUGGACAGAUGGGUUAUGGGUAGUAUUAUAGAUGUGGAACUAGACAGAUGGGUUAGUAUUAUAGGUGUGGUACUGCACAGAUGGGUUAGUAUUAUAGGUGUGGUACUAGACAGAUGUGUUAUGGGUAGUAUUAUAGGUGUGGUACUAGACAGAUGGAUUAGUAUUAUAGGUGUGGUACUGGACAGAUGGGUUAUGGGUAGUAUUAUAGG
This 1788-nucleotide long non-coding RNA is filed under the name Salmo salar (Atlantic salmon). RNAcentral's name for it is "lncRNA (ENSSSAG00000085015.1)". Lineage: Eukaryota; Metazoa; Chordata; Actinopteri; Salmoniformes; Salmonidae. The record is from RNAcentral.